Molecule: ribosomal RNA, 264 nt
Filed under: uncultured bacterium
Lineage: Bacteria
Description: partial 16S ribosomal RNA
Rfam family: Bacterial small subunit ribosomal RNA
Source: RNAcentral
GUCCACGCCGUAAACUAUGGAUACUAGGUGUUUGGAGAAUUAACCCUCUGAGUACUACAGCUAACGCGUUAAGUAUCCCGCCUGGGGAGUACAGUCGCAAGGCCGAAACUCAAAGAAAUUGACGGGGGCCCGCACAAGCGGUGGAGUAUGUGGUUUAAUUCGAAGCAACGCGCAGAACCUUACCUACCCUUAACAUCCCGUGCUACCACCAGAGAUGGUGGGUUCUCUUCGGAGACGCGGAGAUAGGUGCUGCAUGGCUGUCGU